Macaca mulatta (Rhesus monkey) is the source of this 982-nucleotide non-coding RNA. NCBI's taxonomy places the organism in Eukaryota, Metazoa, Chordata, Mammalia, Primates, Cercopithecidae. The record is from RefSeq and is a predicted model, not a curated record.
UUCCUUCUGCCUAAAAAGAGUACAGGGAAGAGCGGGGAAGACGUUGUCUUGCAUGUUGGAUACCAUGUUAGCCACAUCAAGAUAGGGCACCUAGGUUAGAGUCAUGAGGACCCCAUUCCAGGUCCUGGCUCCCAGAUAACAUUUCUAGACAUGCCCUGAGCCAGAGGGGAACCCCUCUGCCUUGAAGGAAAUACCCAGUCCUGCCAUCAUUCAUCGCCUAAUAACUGAAAAGCCCUUGGGCUAUGAAUAACCAGCAGCGAUAAACAGAAUGGAGACUGAUUCAAGUUGCCUGGAGAAAUGGAGCUUACUGUAAGGCUGCACACAUCCAUCGUAAGGGAGAUGGGCAUCAGAGGAAAAGAAGUAAUACUGGUUAUUAACUAUCCAAUUGCUUUUCUUUCCCCCAGCAGCAAGAAGAGUUCAGGGAACCAUAGUAUUUCUUCACUAACAUGAUGCUCGAGACCAAGAGGAUAUUGAUCUCCAAUUAAAGUCAUUAGGAGUAUCCUCAGUUUUAAAUCUAAGAAAAUUCUCAUCCUUUCAAAUAUUAUUGGUAUAUUUUAACAAGUCUCUCAAAUACAGAUUAGGCAAUAUUGCUCCAGAGAUAGAAACUACUGUGAAUGGCUUUAAUUGAAGAUAUAUGGGGAUAAUUUUAAUGUAUGACAUUUGGGGUAAUUAAGGCAGAGUAGUAUUGGGUGAGGGGAAAGAGGGUGUUUAGGGAAAGAAGCUUCAGACAUGUCAAAUGGGCUCCUACAGCUGUCUUUCUUACACAUAUGUGCAUAAGAUUGAGUAGUUUACCUUGCUCAUGGUAAUUCCAUGCCAGAGCUUAGGAAAAUUUUGCAGGACACUUUGACUUGCUUUAGGCAACACUUGUCACCCAUACUGAAACACUCUCCUUGCUAACAGAGAAGAAUAUAAUCCCAAAGUCAUAGACUCUUUUGUUUGACAUAGUCUUGUCUCUCUAAUGAAAAUAAAUAAAGAAAAACCA